RNAcentral lists this unclassified non-coding RNA (436 nucleotides) under Hevea brasiliensis (rubber tree). Lineage: Eukaryota; Viridiplantae; Streptophyta; Magnoliopsida; Malpighiales; Euphorbiaceae. The record is from RNAcentral.
ACCUUUUGUAGGCAUUACCUCAAACAACUUGCGGGAAUCACCUAAUUUUCCAGAUUUCACAUACCCAGCAAUCAUUAUAUUACAGGGCACAGGAUCCGAACUGGCAGAUAAUUCAAUCAAGGAAUUAGCAUCAGCUAAAAACCGACAUUUUGCGUACAUGUUAAUCAAGCUGUUGCUUAUGAAAGCGUUUGAAUCAAGGCCGGAUUUCAAAACAAGGCAGUGGAUUCGUUGGCCUUGAAAGAUAGACAAAUGGGUCGAGCAAGCUAAAACCAAAACCAGCUUGUAAUUGGGAUCUUUCCGGUAUGGUGUGGGAUUGACGAAAGCAAUGAGAUGGAGAAGAGGGUUUUCUUGUUGCUGCGAAAAUUAGGGGGUUUGGAGAGUUUAGGUAGAUACCCAUUUGAGAGUGGACGCUGGUGAGACAAAAGGAGAAGAGAUG